This 616-nucleotide unclassified non-coding RNA is filed under the name Hevea brasiliensis (rubber tree). The record is from RNAcentral. Lineage: Eukaryota; Viridiplantae; Streptophyta; Magnoliopsida; Malpighiales; Euphorbiaceae.
GUUUGAAACUUCAAUUAAAGUAUCUUUGUCCAGAUUUCUCAAUUUGCCAUAAAAAAAACUCUACUCAUCUUGUCUUUCACAUGCUGAUGGCCUUGCAGGUUCAUAUGGCUUUGCUUGCUAAUGAAAAUGCACAACAAACAAUAUAAAGAAAAUGAAAAUAGCUACUAAUAAAAAAGAAUUUCCUUUUCAUGUGUAAGAGAAUUUAUUCAAAUGGCACCAAACUUACUGCUUUUUUUGGGCAUUGGGUUCAUAUUGUAAUUAAUUGACCACUAGGGUCUCUUCAAUUCAAACCAGAUUAGACUAGUUGUUCCAUGUAUAUUUUGUCCCUGGACUGGAUAAGUAUAUAUAGAUCAUACCAAGGAACUCGGAUGACAUUAUAAUAAGGAAUUCUUUUGCUUACGAAUUCUCCAAAAGAUAGGAAGUUGAUGGGCUAUUCUGCGUUUUCUCUUUCCUCUCAUAUGGCUUAUCUUUAAAAAAUGUCAAUUUAAAAUACUGUCAGAUACACUGAAUACUUAGCCAUUUGCAUUUGGUAUUUCUUAUUUGGAUUUCUAUUAUAUGGAUAAUGUUCAAAUGCAGCUUACUAUCAUCUCCUAUGCUUUCUCUUGGCAGCUUGUCU